GCGUCUGCCGAAAGAAAAGGCGUCAAACGGCAACCGCUCCUUCCAGGUGGACUCGUGACCUCAUUACAAAUGAAGGCCACGCCCACACAGGAAAUGGACAUUCCCACCACCACGGGCGUGUCUCCUCAACAUUUGCAUGAAGCCACGUGAGUAACACGCACGCUCACAUAUUUCCACAUAUUCACUGAGCACCCCAUGUAUCAGUCAAACACCCCUGGAGAGAAAAAAAAACUGGAGCCAUUCUUAGGAAUUGACCUCACGUCACACACACACACACACACACACACACACACACACACACACACACACACGCACACACACUCUCGGGUACACACGCGCAGGCAAGCGAUGCCCCGCCCUACAUGCGGAGCUUGUAAUUAUCUUGAAAAUAGCAUCCCAGUUCAAGAUGAAAACAACACGGCUGACCUUCAAUAUUCAUGGUCGUCAUGACGACGCAAACAUAGGUGACCCCUGCUGAGUUGGCGUUUCCUAAUCAUGUGUGCGCGUGCAUGAGCGAAGCUGUGUUUGCGUGUUCGCGUGCGCGUGUCACCUGGACACUCGGCGUUCUUUCCCGGUCCACAUUCGAGCGUGGCGCUUCCUCCUCCUCCUCCUCCUCGAGCAGUUGCGCUCGUGGCGGAGGUAAGGCGCAGCAGAAGGAGUAGUAGCAGGAAGGACGAUGAUGAUGAAAACGAAGCGGUGGAGGCCACAAGAGCCAUGAUGGAAGAGCACGGGAUGAUGUCAGAAGAGCAGGAAAAUCACACGCUUUUGUCUCCAAAGCCGCACGAGAAGCGCAAAGAUGGCCUUCAGCGCCUCAUAUCGCCGACGAGGAGGAGCAGGAGGAGGAAGGUAGCACAAAGCGGAGCCCGCGGCGAACGGCGGCGACCCCCACGCA
Long non-coding RNA from Syngnathus acus (greater pipefish), 892 nucleotides. RefSeq lists it as uncharacterized. The transcript is spliced from 2 exons. The record is from RefSeq and is a predicted model, not a curated record. NCBI's taxonomy places the organism in Eukaryota, Metazoa, Chordata, Actinopteri, Syngnathiformes, Syngnathidae.